GAUGAACGCUGGCGGCGUGCCUAAUACAUGCAAGUCGAGCGAACGGACGAGAAGCUUGCUUUUCUGACGUUAGCGGCGGACGGGUGAGUAACACGUGGAUAACCUACCUAUAAGACUGGGAUAACUUCGGGAAACCGGAGCUAAUACCGGAUAAUAUUUUGAACCGCAUGGUUCAAAAGUGAAAGACGGUCUUGCUGUCACUUAUAGAUGGAUCCGCGCUGCGUUAGCUAGUUGGUAAGGUAACGGCUUACCAAGGCAACGAUGCAUAGCCGACCUGAGAGGGUGAUCGGCCACACUGGAACUGAGACACGGUCCAGACUCCUACGGGAGGCAGCAGUAGGGAAUCUUCCGCAAUGGGCGAAAGCCUGACGGAGCAACGCCGCGUGAGUGAUGAAGGUCUUCGGAUCGUAAAACUCUGUUAUUAGGGAAGAACAUAUGUGUAAGUAACUGUGCACAUCUUGACGGUACCUAAUCAGAAAGCCACGGCUAACUACGUG
This 497-nucleotide ribosomal RNA is filed under the name uncultured bacterium. RNAcentral describes it as "partial 16S ribosomal RNA". It matches the Rfam family "Bacterial small subunit ribosomal RNA", at positions 28 to 507 of the family's 1533-position model. The record is from RNAcentral.